This is a long non-coding RNA of Oncorhynchus tshawytscha (Chinook salmon), 1449 nucleotides long. Lineage: Eukaryota; Metazoa; Chordata; Actinopteri; Salmoniformes; Salmonidae. The record is from Ensembl.
CCUGACCUCAACCCCUCCUUCACCUAAUCCACAGAUGUCCAUCUGUCUCCCCAUGUAUCAACACAUCUCUGUCCUCACCUCCUGACCUCAACCCCUCCUUCACCUAAUCCACAGAUGUCCAUCUGUCUCCCCAUGUAUCAACACAUCUCUGUCCUGACCUCAACCCCUCCUUCACCUAAUCCACAGAUGUCCAUCUGUCUCCCCAUGUAUCAACACAUCUCUGUCCUCACCUCCUGACCUCAACCCCUCCUUCACCUAAUCCACAGAUGUCCAUCUGUCUCCCCAUGUAUCAACACAUCUCUCUCCUCUCCUCCUGACCUCAACCCCUCCUUCACCUAAUCCACAGAUAUCCAUCUGUCUCCCCCAUGUAUCAACGCAUUGCUGUCCUCUCCUCCAUCAAACACAUUCCAAAGCCUUCUGUCUUUCUUCAGAGAUCCAUUCUAACAGAACACCCAGUCUCUUUCAUUUCCUAUCAUUCAUUUACUAUCUCAAUGUUUAGCACAUUCAUUCUUCCCAUGACAGACUGACCAGGUGAAUCCAGGAUCCCUUAUUGAUGUCACCUUAAAUUCACUUCAAUCAGUGUAGAUGAAGGGGAGGAGACGGGUUAAAUAAUGAUUCUUUGCCAUUCAGAGGGUGAAUGGGCAAGAAAAGAUUGAAAUCAAAUUUGAUUAGUCACAAUGCAGUAAAAAAUAAUGAAUAAGAACUAAAAUUAACAAAUAAUUAAAGAGCAGCAGUAAUAAUAAUCAUAGCGAGACUAUAUGCAGGGGGCACCGGUUAGUAAUGAGACUAUAUGCAGGGGGCACCGGUACAGAGUCAAUGUGCGGGGUCACCGGUGUCAUACCUCUGCACCAUCUCUCUGUCUCCUACACCCAGGAUGCUGUGGUCAGAGAGGUCGUAAAUUCCUGGAGGAGAAUAUCUCCUCAUGGCCAGAGUAUUUAGAGAAAGUGAGUUUUCAUAUAGAGAGAGAAGGAGGAUAUACACCCAAAAGGGUCACGUUGUGGCAAUACAGACAGGUGGUUAGUAAAGUAACCUGGAGUAAAGUGAGCCGGUACUCCAGAGGUGAAGAGAGGGCAGGGUGAAAGAAGAGGCCUAAAGGACAGGAAGGAGCCGUCUAGAAGAGGCCUAAAGGGCAGGAAGGAGCAGACUAGAAGAGGGUUGGUCAGUGUCCUCCUAGUCCUCACUGGCUCCGUGGUCAGUAAGGAUCCUUCCUCUGGCUCAGGAGGGGUCGACUAGCUCAACAGGUAGCACUACGGAUCACCUCCAUCCACCUGGAGGAAGACACAGGUAGCACUACCAAACACCACACUACUGAAAACAACAAGACAACACCACACUACUGAAGACAACACCACACCACUGAAGACAACACCACACCACUGAAGACAACACCACACCACUGAAGACAACACCACACUACUGAAGACAACACCACUGAAGACAACACCACAC